UACGGGGGGGGCAAGCGUUGUUCGGAAUUACUGGGCGUAAAGGGCUCGUAGGCGGCCAACUAAGUCAGACGUGAAAUCCCCAGGCUCAACCUGGGAACUGCGUCUGAUACUGGAUGGCUUGAAUCCGGGAGAGGGAUGCAGAAUUCCAGGUGUAGCGGUGAAAUGCGUAGAUAUCUGGAGGAAUGCCGGUGGCGAAGGCGGCAUCCUGGACCGGCAUUGACGCUGAGGAGCGAAAGCUAGGGGAGCAAACGGG
RNAcentral lists this ribosomal RNA (253 nucleotides) under uncultured bacterium. RNAcentral describes it as "partial 16S ribosomal RNA". It matches the Rfam family "Bacterial small subunit ribosomal RNA", at positions 524 to 776 of the family's 1533-position model. The record is from RNAcentral.